GAUCAUGGCUCAGGGUGAACGCUGGCGGCGUGCCUAAGACAUGCAAGUCGAGCGGGGCAGGUUUAUACCUGUUCAGCGGCGGACGGGUGAGUAACGCGUGGGUGACCUACCCGGAAGAGGCGGACAACCUGGGGAAACCCAGGCUAAUCCGCCAUGUGGUCCUGUCCUGUGGGGCAGGACUAAAGGGGCGACCCGCUUCCGGAUGGGCCCGCGUCCCAUCAGCUAGUUGGUGGGGUAAAGGCCCACCAAGGCGACGACGGGUAGCCGGU
Molecule: ribosomal RNA, 269 nt
Filed under: uncultured bacterium
Lineage: Bacteria
Description: partial 16S ribosomal RNA
Rfam family: Bacterial small subunit ribosomal RNA
Source: RNAcentral